GUCCAGUAGAGAACCUCCUAGCGAGCGGGCCUGGAGAGGAGGGGAAGUCUCCCCGCCAGCCAGGGGUCUGCCAGGGUGUUACUGCGUGACCUUGGCCAGGCACACGGCCUCUCUGCACUCUGUCCUCACCUUUAGUCGGGUUAAUUUUGCCUGCUGUGUUGACCACACCAGUGGUGAAGCCGUAAGAAGGAGAACUGGAAGGAAGCCCCUUGAAAACAAAGAGAAAGGAAACUUGGCAAUUUCCCUCCUGAAAAAUUUCUAAACUGAGGACCAGCUUUGUGGCAAGGAAACUGUUCAGCAAUGCCAAAGUGCUCCUGAACCAGUGUUUGUGAAACUGGCAAAUACAGGCAGCUCUUGUGAUGACAAAGACUUCCCCAAGGCUUCUUCUCACCAGUUAAUGGAGACUCAGUGGAUGCAAAGCUUACAACUAUGAAAACAAUACCUGUCUGACCUGGUAAACAGAUCAAUAGAACUGUAGGGCCCCCACAAGAUAUAGCUGAUUCCCAACCCCCGAAUCUGUGAAGGUGACUUUAUUUGGAAGAGAGUCUUUGAAGAUAUAAAUGAGGACCUCAAGAUGAGAUGUUCCUGGAUUUAAG
Bos taurus (domestic cattle) is the source of this 596-nucleotide long non-coding RNA. The record is from Ensembl. Lineage: Eukaryota; Metazoa; Chordata; Mammalia; Artiodactyla; Bovidae.